RNAcentral lists this ribosomal RNA (433 nucleotides) under Panesthia tryoni tegminifera. RNAcentral's name for it is "partial 12S rRNA". The record is from RNAcentral. Lineage: Eukaryota; Metazoa; Arthropoda; Insecta; Blattodea; Blaberidae.
UACUAUGUUACGACUUAUCUCAUCUUAAUAACGAGAGUGACGGGCGAUGUGUGCACAUUUUAGAGCCAAAAUCACAAAAAUAAUUCUUAUUAAUAAUUACUAUUAAAUCCACCUUCAUAAAAUUUUUCAAGCCUUAAUUCAUUUACUUUUUAAAUAUUGUAAUCCAUCUCCACUUAAUUAUCAACUGCACCUUGACCUGAAUUAAAAUUAAUUCAAAUUUAAAGAAGAUUUAACCCUAAAAAGAUCUUCAAAUAAACGGCGGUAUACAUAUUAAAUCAUAUUAAGUAAGGUUCAACGUGGAUUAUCGAUAAUGGGACAGAUUCCUCUAACUAGACUAAAAUACCGCCAAAUUCUUUAAGUUUCAAGUACAUAUCUAAUACUACUCAAGAUUAAAAUUUUAUAUCCAAAAUAAUAGGGUAUCUAAUCCUAGUUU